Molecule: ribosomal RNA, 763 nt
Filed under: Alloalcanivorax dieselolei
Lineage: Bacteria; Pseudomonadati; Pseudomonadota; Gammaproteobacteria; Oceanospirillales; Alcanivoracaceae
Description: bacterial SSU rRNA
Rfam family: Bacterial small subunit ribosomal RNA
Source: RNAcentral
GCGUCGAGCGGCGGACGGGUGAGUAACACGUGAGAAUCUGCCCAUUAGUGGGGGAUAACUCGGGGAAACUCGAGCUAAUACCGCAUAAUCCCUACGGGGGAAAGCAGGGGAUCUUCGGACCUUGCGCUGAUGGAUGAGCCCGCGUCGGAUUAGCUUGUUGGUGGGGUAAUGGCCCACCAAGGCGACGAUCCGUAACUGGUCUGAGAGGAUGGCCAGUCACACCGGGACUGAGACACGGCCCGGACUCCUACGGGAGGCAGCAGUGGGGAAUCUUGGACAAUGGGCGCAAGCCUGAUCCAGCCAUGCCGCGUGUGUGAAGAAGGCCUUCGGGUUGUAAAGCACUUUCAGUAGGGAGGAAGGCUUUGGGUUAAUACCCUGGAGUACUUGACGUUACCUACAGAAGAAGCACCGGCUAAUUUCGUGCCAGCAGCCGCGGUAAUACGAAAGGUGCGAGCGUUAAUCGGAAUUACUGGGCGUAAAGCGCGCGUAGGCGGUGUGUUAAGUCGGAUGUGAAAGCCCAGGGCUCAACCUUGGAAUUGCAUCCGAUACUGGCACGCUAGAGUGCAGUAGAGGGAGGUGGAAUUUCCGGUGUAGCGGUGAAAUGCGUAGAGAUCGGAAGGAACACCAGUGGCGAAGGCGGCCUCCUGGACUGACACUGACGCUGAGGUGCGAAAGCGUGGGGGAGCAAACAGGAUUAGAUACCCUGGUAGUCCACGCCCGUAAACGAUGUCUACUAGCCGUUGGGGGUCCUUAGUGACUUUGG